CGAACGCGAAGACCCCGCAAGGGGUUUGUAGCGUGGCAAACGGGUGAGUAACGCGUGGGCGACCUACCUCAGAGUGGAGGAUAACCUUCCGAAAGGGAGGCUAAUACCGCAUGACAUCCCAUGUUUGGAUACAUGGACAUCAAAGCCGGGGAUCGCAAGACCUGGCGCUUGGAGAGGGGCCCGCGUCCGAUUAGCUAGUUGGUGAGGUAACGGCUCACCAAGGCUCCGAUCGGUAUCCGGCCUGAGAGGGCGGACGGACACACUGGGACUGAGACACGGCCCAGACUCCUACGGGAGGCAGCAGUGGGGAAUUGUUCGCAAUGGGCGCAAGCCUGACGACGCAACGCCGCGUGGAGGAUGAAGACCUUCGGGUCGUAAACUCCUUUCGACCGAGAUGAAUUUCCGCUGACCUAACACGUCGGCGGGGGGACAGUAUCGAGGGAAGCAGCCCCGGCUAACUCCGUGCCAGCAGCCGCGGUAAUACGGGGGGGGCAAGCGUUG
RNAcentral lists this ribosomal RNA (501 nucleotides) under uncultured bacterium. RNAcentral's name for it is "bacterial SSU rRNA". It matches the Rfam family "Bacterial small subunit ribosomal RNA", at positions 63 to 543 of the family's 1533-position model. The record is from RNAcentral.